UUCGAUUUUUUGGGUGAGCGUUCCAUGAAUAAAGUUGUAAACUCAAGAGUCGAUGCAAUUUUAACUAAGAGGCAGUAUCUGGAAAGGGCAAUUGUCGGACAAGAUAUGGACCCUCUAUUAUGGAUGAAGGUGAAUCAAACUGAUUUCCCUGCCAUUGGGAGCCUUUUCGCCAAAUAUCUUUGCAUUCCGGCUACGUCCGUGGAGUCUGAAAGAACAUUCAGCAAGGCGGGCCAAAUAAUAUCGGAGAGGCGAACCCGGCUCAAAGAAAAAAAUGUUAACAUUCUUUUGUUUUUAAAUCGCAACUCUUGGCUGAAAUAAAGCAUAUUUUAUUGUA
Drosophila gunungcola (fruit fly) is the source of this 334-nucleotide long non-coding RNA. RefSeq lists it as uncharacterized. The transcript has 2 exons. The record is from RefSeq and is a predicted model, not a curated record. Lineage: Eukaryota; Metazoa; Arthropoda; Insecta; Diptera; Drosophilidae.